UACGGAGGAUGCAAGCGUUAUCCGGAUUCAUUGGGUUUAAAGGGUGCGCAGGCGGAGAGAUAAGUCAGUGGUGAAAAACUGCCGCUCAACGGUAGUCUUGCCAUUGAUACUGUCUUUCUUGAGUAUGGAUGAGGUAGGCGGAAUGUGCAGUGUAGCGGUGAAAUGCAUAGAUAUUGCACGGAACACCAAUUGCGAAGGCAGCUUACUGGACCAUUACUGACGCUCAGGCACGAAAGCGUGGGGAGCAAA
RNAcentral lists this ribosomal RNA (249 nucleotides) under uncultured prokaryote. Its description in RNAcentral is "partial 16S ribosomal RNA". It matches the Rfam family "Bacterial small subunit ribosomal RNA", at positions 524 to 772 of the family's 1533-position model. The record is from RNAcentral.